CCUACGGGGGGCUGCAGUAGGGAAUAUUGGGCAAUGGACGAAAGUCUGACCCAGCCAUGCCGCGUGCAGGAUGACUGCCCUAUGGGUUGUAAACUGCUUUUCUAUGGGAAGAAACACUCAUACGUGUAUGAACUUGACGGUACCAUAGGAAUAAGGAUCGGCUAACUCCGUGCCAGCAGCCGCGGUAAUACGGAGGAUCCAAGCGUUGUCCGGAUUCAUUGGGUCUAAAGGGUGCGAAUACGGACUACUAGAAAUGUUGCGGCUCAACCUUAAAAUUGCCUUUGAAACUGGUAGUCUUGAGUUCGGUCGAGGUGGAUGGAAGGUGUCAUGUAGCGGUGAAAUGCUUAGAUAUGACCCAGAACACCAAUUGCGAAGGCAGUUCACUAGACCGAUACUGACGCUGAGGCACGAAAGCGUGGGGAGCGAACAGGAUUAGAUACCCGUGUAGUC
This 450-nucleotide ribosomal RNA is filed under the name uncultured bacterium. RNAcentral describes it as "partial 16S ribosomal RNA". It matches the Rfam family "Bacterial small subunit ribosomal RNA", at positions 338 to 795 of the family's 1533-position model. The record is from RNAcentral.